This 989-nucleotide long non-coding RNA is filed under the name Marmota monax (woodchuck). Lineage: Eukaryota; Metazoa; Chordata; Mammalia; Rodentia; Sciuridae. The record is from RNAcentral.
AACUUAUAAAGAUUGCCUUAGUCUGUUCAUGCUGAUGUGAAAAAAUACCACAGGUUGGGUAAGAUAGAAAUAACUGAAGUCUAUUACUUACCCAAAUCAUGUUUAGAUGCUGGAACAUUCAAGAUGGAGGGACUGACAGAUUCAGUGUCUGAUGAGGACUUCUCUCUGCUUCCAAGGUGGUACCGGACAUGGUAGAGGAGGUAGAAUUUGUGUUCUCACAUGCCAUAAGGCAAAAGGCAUUUCCUUGAACCCUCAAAAAGGACACUAAUCCCAUUCACGAUUGUAGUGUUCUUUGGCCUGAUUACCUCCUGGUAUGGUCUGGAUCUGAAUGUUUCCCAAAGACUCAUGUAUUGAAGACCUUGUCCCCAAUGCAGCAAUGUUCAGGGGUGGUGUUUGGGGGAAGCAUUGAUGAUGGUGCAUUGAUCAUAACGGCUUUAACAUGAUCAAUGGAUUAACCUCUUCAUGGAGUUACAGCUGAUUGGACUAUUGGGAGGUGGUGCAAACUAUAGGAGGUGAGAUUAGUUGAAGCGAGUAGGUCCUUGGGGGCAUGCAAUUGGGGACUGACUAUAUCUUGUCCCCUGUCUCUUUCUUCCUCUCUCUUAGCUUUCUGGUUGUCCUAAGGCGAGCAGCCUCCUCCAGCACAUGCUCCUGCUGCCAUGAAGCUCUGCCUCCCUAUAAGCCAGAAAAAAUGGACACCUGGCCCUGGACUGAAAGCUCUGAAACUGUGAGACAAAGUAAAUCUUUUCUUCUUUGGAUUAUUUUUCUCAAGUACUUUGUCACAAUUAUAGAAAACCUCCAAAAAGUUCCCACCUCUUGAUACCAUCACCUUCAAGUUUAACUUCCAACAUGGUUUUUUGGAGGAGCACAUGUUUUCAAACCAGAACAAACACCAGCAAUUAUCUGGUUUCCCCAUGAUCUGAAUGUUGUGUUGCUUUUAGAGCAAUCAGAGACAUCCAUGCCGGUUUAUACCCACACCUUCUCAGAACUCC